CUGGAGGUAUCAGAAGUGCGAAUGCUGACAUAAGUAACGAUAAAGCGGGUGAAAAGCCCGCUCGCCGGAAGACCAAGGGUUCCUGUCCAACGUUAAUCGGGGCAGGGUGAGUCGACCCCUAAGGCGAGGCCGAAAGGCGUAGUCGAUGGGAAACAGGUUAAUAUUCCUGUACUUGGUGUUACUGCGAAGGGGGGACGGAGAAGGCUAUGUUGGCCGGGCGACGGUUGUCCCGGUUUAAGCGUGUAGGCUGGUUUUCCAGGCAAAUCCGGAAAAUCAAGGCUGAGGCGUGAUGACGAGGCACUACGGUGCUGAAGCAACAAAUGCCCUGCUUCCAGGAAAAGCCUCUAAGCAUCAGGUAACAUCAAAUCGUACCCCAAACCGACACAGGUGGUCAGGUAGAGAAUACCAAGGCGCUUGAGAGAACUCGGGUGAAGGAACUAGGCAAAAUGGUGCCGUAACUUCGGGAGAAGGCACGCUGAUAUGUAGGUGAAGCGACUUGCUCGUGGAGCUGAAAUCAGUCGAAGAUACCAGCUGGCUGCAACUGUUUAUUAAAAACACAGCACUGUGCAAACACGAAAGUGGAC
This 584-nucleotide ribosomal RNA is filed under the name Escherichia coli. Its description in RNAcentral is "partial 23S ribosomal RNA". It matches the Rfam family "Bacterial large subunit ribosomal RNA", at positions 1273 to 1842 of the family's 2925-position model. The record is from RNAcentral. Lineage: Bacteria; Pseudomonadati; Pseudomonadota; Gammaproteobacteria; Enterobacterales; Enterobacteriaceae.